UGAGGAAUAUUGGACAAUGGGUGGAAGCCUGAUCCAGCCAUCCCGCGUGAAGGAUGACGGUUCUAUGGAUUGUAAACUUCUUUUGUACAGGGAUAAACCUGCCCUCGUGAGGGCAGCUGAAGGUACUGUACGAAUAAGCACCGGCUAACUCCGUGCCAGCAGCCGCGGUAAUACGGAGGGUGCGAGCGUUAUCCGGAUUUAUUGGGUUUAAAGGGUCCGUAUGCGGGCCUGUAAGUCAGUGGUGAAAUCUCAUAGCUUAACUAUGAAACUGCCAUUGAUACUGCAGGCCUUGAGUAAAUUGGCAGUGGCUGGAAUAAGUAGUGUAGCGGUGAAAUGCAUAGAUAUUACUUAGAACACCGAUUGCGAAGGCAGGUCACUAAGAUUUAACUGACGCUGAUGGACGAAAGCGUGGGGA
This 415-nucleotide ribosomal RNA is filed under the name uncultured bacterium. RNAcentral describes it as "bacterial SSU rRNA". It matches the Rfam family "Bacterial small subunit ribosomal RNA", at positions 355 to 767 of the family's 1533-position model. The record is from RNAcentral.